UGGGGAAUAUUGGACAAUGGGCGAAAGCCUGAUCCAGCCAUGCCGCGUGGGUGAAGAAGGCCUUAGGGUUGUAAACCCCUUUCAGCGGGGAAGAUAAUGACGGUACCCGCAGAAGAAGUCCCGGCUAACUCCGUGCCAGCAGCCGCGGUAAUACGGAGGGGACUAGCGUUGUUCGGAAUUACUGGGCGUAAAGCGCACGUAGGCGGAUUGUUAAGUCAGGGGUGAAAUCCCGAGGCUCAACCUCGGAACUGCCUUUGAUACUGGCAAUCUCGAGUCCGGAAGAGGUGAGUGGAAUUCCUAGUGUAGAGGUGAAAUUCGUAGAUAUUAGGAAGAACACCAGUGGCGAAGGCGGCUCACUGGUCCGGUACUGACGCUGAGGUGCGAAAGCGUGGGGAGCAAACA
This 402-nucleotide ribosomal RNA is filed under the name uncultured Hyphomicrobiales bacterium. RNAcentral describes it as "uncultured Rhizobiales bacterium partial 16S ribosomal RNA". It matches the Rfam family "Bacterial small subunit ribosomal RNA", at positions 355 to 774 of the family's 1533-position model. The record is from RNAcentral. Lineage: Bacteria; Pseudomonadati; Pseudomonadota; Alphaproteobacteria; Hyphomicrobiales.